This is a long non-coding RNA of Molossus molossus (Pallas's mastiff bat), 1811 nucleotides long. RefSeq lists it as uncharacterized. The transcript is spliced from 4 exons. Lineage: Eukaryota; Metazoa; Chordata; Mammalia; Chiroptera; Molossidae. The record is from RefSeq and is a predicted model, not a curated record.
CCCACCCCCCGUGACGCCUGCGCUGCCGCUCCGGGGGCCAGGUUUCCAGCGGCAAGGAUGUGAAUUAUCACUGCGUAGAGUAACGGGGUUAAAAAGGAGAGCCCCCCGGAUCUGCUCCAAGCCACAGAACCAAGCAGGAGUUGAGACUCACAGAAGCAUCCAUGGGGAGCUCGGGGCCCUGCUCAGGAUGUUAUCUCUUCCUACACGUGGAGAAUGGCUGUGCCUCUGUGACCCUCCUGGGGAUCAUGCCUGCCCGUUGCAGCCUGUGCUACCCAGCCCACUGGCCAGCCCCUCAGCAUGGGCAUUAGUGCCUACACCUUACCAUGCAAAAAAUAGGGCAACGCAAAGGAUACAAAUCUUAACUUCUUCUUGUGCGCUAAUCCAACCUCAAAUCUAGGUUUUCAUUUUAUUCUUGGUAAAACAGACUUCCUAUUUCAAAGAAAAAGCACGACAAAAACAACAACAACAAAAAAAAACAAAACCAAGCCAAAAGCUCUUUCCAAGGCAUCUAAGGAUUCUGGCCAAACCCCAACUUGAUGAGUUCACAGUAAAUGAAUCACAGACCCAUGGUUUAGAGUCUCUCAAGAGUCCUGAGACGGCGAGGGCUUCACGGAGCAGCUGGCUACUCUGCCAGCUGAGUGGAGAUCAGGAUGUCCCAGAGCCCCUCGGACACCUCCUUUCCCUGGGCUUCACUCGCAUGGCUCAUGCGACUGUGUCCUCACCCACAGAGUAGAUGCCAUCAGGCGGGCCUGACUAGCAACCAGAUAGUAACCAGGGCACCCAAAACCCAAGACUUGGUUGUUGUUUAAUCGUUAACCUCCAUUCCAUUCAUUCCUGGCUGCGUUCACGGAGGAUUUCUAAGAAAGAUUUUGGGGUGGAGGUGCUCUCUGCAGAUGGUGUUUUCCAGGAAGCUCGGCUGGCUUCCUGAGAGAUGUCACACACUGGAACGUUUGUUUUCCAGUGGCUGGCAGGGGAACUCUGGAAUGACUCAAGUGAGGAGCUGAAUCAGAGAGGGUGGGUUAUGUCCUAAAACCACACCCUCCACUGACUUGGUCAAACCGUAUCCGUUUUAAUUACAGCUUCAGACCCUCCACCUCCCAAACCAGGAAGCCUUCCUCGAUAAACCAGAAGCCCUUUCCACCCCAAGUCACCCUGAUACCUCUGACACCCUCAUUUGCAUAUGUGGUUAGCUUUUUAUUGACAUUCGAGUGAUAUGUGAACAGCUUCCACAGGGCCCUCUGAUGGACUGAAAUGAUUGGAUUGCAGCUUCUUUAAAGAUCUGCUUGAGACGCAACCUGGUUGAGCCCCCAGAGCCAAUUCUCCAGACAGUCAGUCAACACCCGUGGACUGUGCACCACCAGCAAGGCCUUUUGCCAGAUACUGGUCAGUGUGAAUCAGAGAGGUGUUGAGAGAAGAUCUGACUCUUGGCGAUGGAGAAGUCAGGAAAGACAUAAAUAGAAAUUCCGAGGAACUCCAGACACAAACAUCCACAAACUGACCUACUAACCUGUGUGACCACGCACAGUAGAGGCAAGAGCUCCAUGCUGUCUUCAUCUGGCCAAGACCUCGAAGCCAAGGUUGUGGAGCCAGGCUCUUCCCCUCUGCCCAAGCAGGCCUGUAUGUGGAGCACACAUUCUCUCCGAUCCUGAGUGGAAACAAAACAACCUGUUCUAGACACCCCCCCAGCCCCUGGGAGCAAAAGGGGUUCCCCGGCCUAGAGGAGAAUACAGUAAUCCUCUUUUAUCCAGUUUCACUUUCCAAGGUUUCAGUUUUCUGUAGUCAACAACGAUUCCAAAAUAUUACAUGGAAAA